Molecule: ribosomal RNA, 227 nt
Filed under: uncultured bacterium
Lineage: Bacteria
Description: partial 16S ribosomal RNA
Rfam family: Bacterial small subunit ribosomal RNA
Source: RNAcentral
UGACCUACCUCGAAGUGAGGGAUACCGGCGAGAAAUCGCCGACAAUCCCGCAUAGGUUUCUGGCUUUGAGAGAAGCGGGAAACAAAGCUUUGCUUCGUGAGAAGAGAGGCGCUUUGAGAUGGGCCCGCGGCCGAUUAGCUGGUUGGUGGGGUAAAAGCCUACCAAGGCGUCGAUCGGUAGCUGGUCUGAGAGGACGAUCAGCCACACUGGGAUUGAGAACGGCCCAG